UACAGAGGGGGCAAGCGUUGUCCGGAUUUAUUGGGCGUAAAGAGCGCGUAGGCGGCCGAGUAAGUCCGACGUGAAAUCUGGAGGCUCAACCUCCAGCGGUCGUUGGAAACUACUCGGCUAGAGUCCGGAAGAGGAGAGUGGAAUUCCUGGUGUAGCGGUGAAAUGCGCAGAUAUCAGGAAGAACACCGAUGGCGAAAGCAGCUCUCUGGGACGGUACUGACGCUGAGGCGCGAAAGCGUGGGGAGCGAACAGG
RNAcentral lists this ribosomal RNA (253 nucleotides) under uncultured bacterium. Its description in RNAcentral is "partial 16S ribosomal RNA". It matches the Rfam family "Bacterial small subunit ribosomal RNA", at positions 524 to 776 of the family's 1533-position model. The record is from RNAcentral.